Molecule: ribosomal RNA, 468 nt
Filed under: uncultured bacterium
Lineage: Bacteria
Description: partial 16S ribosomal RNA
Rfam family: Bacterial small subunit ribosomal RNA
Source: RNAcentral
GACGAACGCUGGCGGCGUGCUUAACACAUGCAAGUCGAACGGUGAAGCUCCAGCUUGCUGGAGUGGAUCAGUGGCGAACGGGUGAGUAACACGUGAGCAACCUGCCCCUGACUCUGGAAUAAGCGCUGGAAACGGCGUCUAAUACUGGAUACGAGAAGGGUCCGCAUGGGCACUUUCUGGAAAGUUUUUCGGUUGGGGAUGGGCUCGCGGCCUAUCAGCUUGUUGGUGAGGUAAUGGCUCACCAAGGCGACGACGGGUAGCCGGCCUGAGAGGGCGACCGGCCACACUGGGACUGAGACACGGCCCAGACUCCUUCGGGAGGCAGCAGUGGGGAAUAGUGCACAAUGGGCGAAGGCCUGAUGCAGCGGCGCCGCGUGGGGGAUGACGGCCUUCGGGUUGUAAACCUCUUUCAGCAGGGAAGAAGCGAAAGUGACGGUACCUGCAGAAGAAGCACCGGCUAACUACGUG